RNAcentral lists this ribosomal RNA (433 nucleotides) under uncultured bacterium. Its description in RNAcentral is "partial 16S ribosomal RNA". It matches the Rfam family "Bacterial small subunit ribosomal RNA", at positions 29 to 507 of the family's 1533-position model. The record is from RNAcentral.
AACGAACGCUGGCGGCAUGCCUAACACAUGCAAGUCGAACGAGACCUUCGGGUCUAGUGGCGCACGGGUGCGUAACGCGUGGGAACCUGCCCUUAGGUUCGGAAUAACUCCCCGAAAGGGGUGCUAAUACCGGAUAAUGUCUUCGGACCAAAGAUUUAUCGCCUUUGGAUGGGCCCGCGUUGGAUUAGCUGGUUGGUAGGGUAAAAGCCUACCAAGGCGACGAUCCAUAGCUGGUCGGAGAGGAUGAUCAGCCACACUGGGACUGAGACACGGCCCAGACUCCUACGGGAGGCAGCAGUGGGGAAUAUUGGACAAUGGGCGAAAGCCUGAUCCAGCAAUGCCGCGUGAGUGAGGAAGGCCUUAGGGUUGUAAAGCUCUUUUACCCGGGAUGAUAAUGACAGUACCGGGAGAAGAAGCACCGGCUAACUCCGUG